GUAUUAUCAUUUCAAUGUGUAAACUAUAUAAAAAUUAUUAAUGAGAUAUUAUAAUCUUUUCUUCAUACUAAGUCUGAAGUUGGUGUGCAUUUUCAGUUUCAGUGCAUCUCAUUUUGGCCUAACCACAUUUUAAGAGCUCAGUAGCCUCAUGUGACUAGUGGCUACUGUGUUGGACAGCAUAGCGUUAGAUAAUUCUCCAAGCUGAAGAGAGAGGUCAAAUAAGAGAGCGACAGUGGCUCCAAGAUACAGCUGGGGUGCCAGGGUGGGGGGUCGGCGAGGAGUCACAAUGACUCAUAGAAUGUCCAGGGAGUUUUGGGGAUCUGAGAGCACAGGAACCUGUGCUCACGUCUCAGGUGGGGCCAGGGUGAACAGGGGAGGGUAGAAGUGGCAACUAGAUGCGUCUAGGACAGCGCCCCACGUCUGCCACAUCCCCCCAAGUCUCCAGAGUGGCACAGGGGAACAUCCAACAGUUCCCCAGUCCCUAAGAGGAGUGAGGACGUGGCUCAGGAAGAAUCGUCACCAUCAGAAUAGGCCGCUGCAAGUGCAGGACUGAUGAUCCGAGUCGAUGGGAAUGUGGACACAGCAGUGAACGCCAGCCUAGAGGGGCGCUGAUGGCCAAAGACCUGACGCUUCACAUCAUGUCUCCUAAACUUCAGUGCCACUCUGGGGAGAUGAGAGGGAAAGGAGAAGUUCUGAAUUCAUAGUUUACCUGAAAUGAUGAAAAAACCCAGAGGUUUGUUUUGGGAGCUUUAUCCCUCUUGCCUCCUUGAUUAUGGGCUGAGCUCAGUCAUCGCUUCUAAAGAAUAGAGCAUGGGAAAGGGCAUAAAUCAGUGCUCAUGUCCACCAAAAGACACACACAAGAAUGUUCAUAACAGCCCGAACUUGAAACAACUCAAAUGUCUUUUGACAACAGAAUGGAUAAAGUACAAGGUAGUCAUACAAUCAAACGAAUACAGCAACAAAAAAGAACAAAACUCACCAACAUGAUGUGGAGUAAAAGAAGCCAUUUCAUUAUGCAGAGUUCAAAAUCAGGCAGACAAAUCUGUGGUGCUAAGAGUUGGAAGUGGCGCCCUUUGAGAGGAGGCUGGCUGGAAGGCGGGCUGAGGGAGCCUUCUGGGCGCUGGAAGUGUUCUACACAUUGAUCCGAGUAGCGAUCACACACGUGUGUGCGUACGUAAAAGAUCAGUCACGCUUUAGACUUAAGAAUUAUACAUUUUAUUGCAAGUUGUAUCUCAAUAAAACAUGUUUUUUAAGUUUGUAAGAGUCUAG
Molecule: long non-coding RNA, 1269 nt
Filed under: Equus asinus (donkey)
Lineage: Eukaryota; Metazoa; Chordata; Mammalia; Perissodactyla; Equidae
Description: lncRNA (ENSEASG00005025645.1)
Source: RNAcentral